UGGGGAAUAUUGCACAAUGGGGGAAACCCUGAUGCAGCAACGCCGCGUGAAGGACGAAGGCUUUCGGGUCGUAAACUUCAAUCAAUAGCUAAUAAGAAUGAAUAGCUAAAGUGAAGCCCCGGCUAACUACGUGCCAGCAGCCGCGGUAAUACGUAGGGGGCAAGCGUUAUCCGGAAUUACUGGGUGUAAAGGGUGAGUAGGCGGUCAGGCAAGUCAUGUGUGAAAAUUAACUGCUCAACGGUUAACGUGCACAAGAAACUGCUUGACUAGAGUACAGGAGAGGUAAGCGGAAUUCCUAGUGUAGCGGUGAAAUGCAUAGAUAUUAGGAAGAACACCGGUGGCGAAGGCGGCUUACUGGACUGAAACUGACGCUGAGUCACGAAAGCGUGGGGAGCAAACA
This 400-nucleotide ribosomal RNA is filed under the name uncultured Eubacteriales bacterium. RNAcentral's name for it is "uncultured Clostridiales bacterium partial 16S ribosomal RNA". It matches the Rfam family "Bacterial small subunit ribosomal RNA", at positions 355 to 774 of the family's 1533-position model. Lineage: Bacteria; Bacillati; Bacillota; Clostridia; Eubacteriales. The record is from RNAcentral.